Molecule: long non-coding RNA, 3809 nt
Organism: Chrysemys picta bellii (western painted turtle)
Lineage: Eukaryota; Metazoa; Chordata; Testudines; Emydidae
Source: RefSeq, a predicted model, not a curated record
CACUACUUAGCUCAAUAGUUGUUGGAUGAAGAUAGGGCAAACCCUGUGGAGAGUGAGGCUUUGCCAUCGACUUGAGCUAUUUUGGGGGUAUACAACACCUGUUAGUGUUCAUGAAUUUUUUUCUUGUGAUAUAAAUCCGUGUGUCCAUGAAAGAUUCAGUUUUUAAAACAAGUGGUCUUCCAAGCUCCAGGGAGGGCUUCUACUAUUUAUAAGGAACAUAGCACACAAACAUGAACCCAGGGGCUAGACUUCAUUGUGUAAGGGAGCAGGUAGCCACAUCUGUAUUUACAUUGCCUAACAUUUUCCACUCUAAAAGAUUCUUGCAAUCUGUUUUUGAGAAGCUCUUACAUCACCAUUGUUUAAAAAAGAUAUUUGAAUUUUGGCAGGGGAAAAGCCUUCAGGCUAGAGAAGAAUCCAUUCUGUGUCCCAUGAAAUUCUGCUCACUUUUGCUGAGGUAUAUUAAACAUGGAAAAUCACCAUUUCCAUUCUCUUGCUCAUAUUCAUCAGGAAAACUUCAGCAGCCUGACAAAUUAAUAACUGAAUGUGAAUAUUCUAAUACUGGACCCACACUUCCACUGCAGCAGCAGCACAUGCUGUACUGGGAACACUGGAAGCAGACAGCUUCUCUGGGAUGGGGGUAGAGAGAGACUGGCCAAACUUCCCAAAAGUUCCUUCUAGAGCAAAUGAGGCAGUGAUUCUACUGACAAUAGCCUCAUUCAUUACACAAUCCUAAUUUAUUCCCUGAGCACCAUCCAUCCUUUGCAGUGAAUGAGGCAGGGGUCCUGUGGAAAAAUAAGUAUAUAAUAAUGUAAUUAACAAGGGAGCCGAAAUAAAGUUUCACAGGCAACCUUAGUACUAGCAUUUCUGCUUGACUUUGCAGCCUAAUCCAGUUGUUUAGAUAGUUUUUGUAUGUAAUGCUGUAGAUGGAAUGGAUGUAUUUUUCCAUUAGAUUUUUUUCCCCUCUGCCCCCUGUUAUUAUGUUAGUUUCAUUUGAUUGUCUCCUUUUCUUCCCUGCUUUGCUUCUCAUUAGUUUUGUGUGUUUUUUUUAAACUCUCUCUCCCUGGUGGAACAAUAACAUACAAGACAAACUUUCAAAACCAAGAUAUCAGAGCAGUUUCAAAAUGAGUUUCUUACCCCAUCCCUGCCUACCAGCGUUAGGUCUGCAGCCAGCCAGCCUAGAGUAAGGUGGGGUGAGUUGGACCCUCUCUGAUUUAAGGAUCAGCCUGUUUUGUGUGUCUGUUUUGGGUUCUUGUGUAUUAUCAUUUUGAAUUCUAAGAAAUAAAGUAGUGUUACAUUGCAACUUUCCAGCAAGAGUAGUUUUUUUAAUCUAACUUCUCUGUGUGUACAUUGAGAACAUAAAAUUAAUAUGACCUCAUAACACUGCAGAAGAUUGUACAAAAACAAAUAAUAGAAUGUGCCCUACACACAAAAGGGAGGGUGCCUGGUCCCCUAUAUUGACUACAACAGAAUAUUUUCUUUUCUGUGAAAUCCAUUUUGACUGCCAUGUGUUUGCAUUUAUUUUCUUUCCAGUUCCAUAGAUUACUCAUCCAUAACUUAGCAGCACGACAGAACAUAUUGAGAGCAUGCUUUCUGCUCCACAAGGAAUUUCCUUUCUCCUGUUUCCUAGACUCCAUUUUACCAUGUUUUCUGAUAGUUCCACUGUGAAGAAUUCUGUCUGAUGGGAUGAAGACAUACAAACCAACAGUAUUCCAGACAUCCCAUUGGGACACAAUUUCUUUGCAUACUUUGACCAUGGACAAGAGUUACAAGUUGCUGACCCAGCGUGAAAGGCAAGUCCCAGAAUCGAACCCAGAUCUUUCUCGUGGCAGCACAAAACUGCCAUAUGGCUACUUGUCCUCUACUCAAUUCAUUUUGAAAAAGUCGACCUGGGAAAAAUCUCUCUCUGGAGUCAGAGUUUUGGCUGGAGUGCAUGUAAAAGUCAGAGGAGAAAGCAUGUCAGUUGCUGUUGGACUCUGUACACAGCACUUCUGAUAGGAUUCUCAAACUUCUGUCAUGCCUCAAAUGUUAUACUGUGCAAGGAUGUGCUUACACAUAAUUUAGUAAUUGAAAUGGCAUGUUUACUGUUCUAUUUCAUGCUUGAUUGUUUUUUUUAAACACCUUUACUCAUGCUGUUAAAAGUGGGAUUAUAAUUAAAAUGUUCUGUUGAACACCUUGUUCAGUUCAACGAAAGGCACAAUAGAACUAGAAAUACUUGUUCUUAUUGACUAUAGGGUGACAGCAGCCUGGUAAAUCUCAUAGGGUCAGUGUCUCCUCUGCCAAACCAUCCAAAAGGAAAGGGGUAAACAAAACCUGUUUGGGAGAGAGAGCCUCUUUCCUCAUGAGGAGGAGAUAAUAAGUAGGGCUAAUUUCCCUGGACACAGCAACCACUCAACUAUGAAACUACUCAUGGGCUGACGAGGUUUGUUUAAUGAUUUGUAGAUUCAAUAGAGCGAGUUUUAAAACUGGUAAUAAUACUUGUAUAACACUUUUUAUCCGCGGAUUUCAAAGCACUUUACAAUUAUUAGUGAAUUAAACCUCAUUGGGCAGGUUAGUAUUACUAUAAUACCCCAUUUUAUAGAUGUUUAAAUUAAGGCACAGAGAGACCAAGUGAUUUACCCAAAACUUCAUGACAAAUUACUGGCAAAACUCAGAAUGGAGCCUAGGAUUCUUGAGCCCCAGUCCAUUGUUCUGACCAUUAGGCAACAUUUCCUUGCUUUGUCACUGUGAAAGGCAGAAUCAAAGGAAAUGUUUUCUUGAUCACCGUUGCCAUUUCUUUAUGGUGCACAAAAAUAUCCCCAGAGCUGGCUGUAUGAACCCAAAGCUUGAUUUUUAUUUUAGAAGCACCUUGAAUCAGGUCUUCACCCUUUUUCCUUAUAUUGCACAUGAGCCUUGAGGCUCCUGGGUUGAAGAGCCCUCUCAGUACCAGACAGAGGGCCUUCAAAACUCAUUCCAGAAUGUAUAAUAUUUCCUGUACAUCAGUGGGCAUCUCCAGUACAUAAGCAGCAAGACUUAUGGGAAAAAUGCAUGGUACUUAUGAAGCAGGUAAGUAGACACAGAAAGAUGUGACUAGCAUAUUGUGGAAGGGACCACUCUUGCAUGCCCCCGUUGACUAGAGUUCUGCAUGGAGAUGGCUUGCAUGGUUUUGUCUUAAAUGAAAAGAAUAAUACCAGCAGAGCAGAGAGAAAAAGGAAGCGACAGACUAGGAGGCUGUCAUUCUGGGAUAACAGAGAGAGGAAGGUAAGUUGGGUAGCCUAGUUCCAUUCCAGGACCCAGCCUGAGGGGAGACAGAUUGUUAAUAGCAUAAGAUGCUCAAAAAUAAAUCUGGGUAGAGGUCAUGGAGUGGUUGUAGAUGAAAUAAGGCGUCAAAAAAAGAGGUGGAUAAGGACAAACUUAUUUUUAAAGACCUGCAAAUGUGGAUAUCUACUUUAUAUCUGCAGAUGUGGAAGCUGAUAUCCGUGGACCAUUUUUGCAGAUCAUGGAUGGAUGCGGAUCCAAAUUUUAUAUCUAAAGCCCUGCAAGUCUGCGGAUAUCCAUGGAUCAUUUUUGCCGACCGCGGAUCAGAUGUGGAUACAAAUUUUGGAUCCAUGUAGGGCUCUACUUAUUUUAUUAAGAUGAUCAGAAACUUAAAGAAGUUGCCCAGUUUCAUCCAGUGGGAUUUCAACCAACUUUAGUUUAUUUUAACGUCUCAUUAUAUGUACAGGUGCAAAUCUCCAGACACACAUGCACACUGCAUUUAUUUCAAUGUGUAAUCGUUUAAAUACAUAUCGAUGUGACACUGCAUGCAUGCAGAGGCACCAACUUUCUUAUGU